AGAGUUUGAUUAUGGCUCAGGAUGAACGCUGGCGGCGUGCCUAAUACAUGCAAGUCGAGCGAGAAACUCUUGAUGCGUUUCGGACAAAUCUGUGAAGCGGAAAGCGGCGGACGGGUGAGUAACGCGUAGGCAACCUGCCCUUAGCAGAGGGAUAGCCAUUGGAAACGAUGAUUAAAACCUCAUAACGCCGGACCGGCACAUGCCGGAUCGGCCAAAGAUUUAUCGGCUAAGGGAUGGGCCUGCGUCUGAUUAACUAGUUGGUGAGGUAACGGCCCACCAAGGUGACGAUCAGUAGCCGACCUGAGAGGGUGAUCGGCCACAUUGGAACUGAGACACGGUCCAAACUUCUACGGAAGGCAGCAGUAAGGAAUCUUGCACAAUGGGGGAAACCCUGAUGCAGCCAACGCCGCGUGAGUGAUGACGGCCCUAGGGUUGUAAAGCUCUGAUCUGUGGGAAGAAGAAAGUGACGGUACCACAGGAGAAAGCCCCGGCUAAAUACGUGCCAGCCGCUGC
This 513-nucleotide ribosomal RNA is filed under the name uncultured bacterium. RNAcentral's name for it is "bacterial SSU rRNA". It matches the Rfam family "Bacterial small subunit ribosomal RNA", at positions 8 to 518 of the family's 1533-position model. The record is from RNAcentral.